AUUGAACGCUGGCGGCAUGGCUAAAAACAUGCAAGUCGAACGCGAAAAAAGGAGCUUGCUCCUUGAGUAGAGUGGCGAAAGGGCGAGUAAUGCGUUUCUAACGUGCCCCAGGGCUGGGGGUAGCUCAUCGAAAGGUGAAUUAAUACCCAAUAAUCCCACCGCGUCGUAUGUCGUGAUGGGCAAAGGUUUACCACCCUGGGAUCGGGGAACGUGCUAUCAGGUUGUUGGUGAGGUAAAGGCUCACCAAGCCUAAGACGGCUAGCGGGUGUGAGAGCACGGCCCGCCGCAUCGGGACUGAGACACUGCCCGG
This 310-nucleotide ribosomal RNA is filed under the name uncultured bacterium. Its description in RNAcentral is "bacterial SSU rRNA". It matches the Rfam family "Bacterial small subunit ribosomal RNA", at positions 30 to 334 of the family's 1533-position model. The record is from RNAcentral.